This 206-nucleotide ribosomal RNA is filed under the name uncultured bacterium. RNAcentral's name for it is "partial 16S ribosomal RNA". It matches the Rfam family "Bacterial small subunit ribosomal RNA", at positions 568 to 774 of the family's 1533-position model. The record is from RNAcentral.
AGCGCAGGCGGUCUUUUAAGUCUGAUGUGAAAGCCUUCGGCUUAACCGGAGAAGUGCAUCGGAAACUGGGAGACUUGAGUGCAGAAGAGGACAGUGGAACUCCAUGUGUAGCGGUGAAAUGCGUAGAUAUAUGGAAGAACACCAGUGGCGAAGGCGGCUGUCUGGUCUGUAACUGACGCUGAGGCUCAAAGCAUGGGUAGCGAACA